RNAcentral lists this ribosomal RNA (460 nucleotides) under uncultured bacterium. Its description in RNAcentral is "partial 16S ribosomal RNA". It matches the Rfam family "Bacterial small subunit ribosomal RNA", at positions 338 to 795 of the family's 1533-position model. The record is from RNAcentral.
CCUACGGGGGGCAGCAGUGAGGAAUAUUGGUCAAUGGACGAGAGUCUGAACCAGCCAAGUAGCGUGAAGGAUGACUGCCCUAUGGUUUGUAAACUUCUUUUAUAUGGGAAUAAAACGUUCCACGUGUGGGAUUUUGUAUGUACCAUAUGAAUAAGGAUCGGCUAACUCCGUGCCAGCAGCCGCGGUAAUACGGAGGAUCCGAGCGUUAUCCGGAUUUAUUGGGUUUAAAGGGAGCGUAGGUGGAUUGUUAAGUCAGUUGUGAAAGUUUGCGGCUCAACCGUAAAAUUGCAGUUGAAACUGGCAGUCUUGAGUACAGUAGAGGUGGGCGGAAUUCGUGGUGUAGCGGUGAAAUGCUUAGAUAUCACGAAGAACUCCGAUUGCGAAGGCAGUUCACUGGACUGCAACUGACACUGAGGCUCGAAAGUGUGGGUAUCAAACAGGAUUAGAUACCCCGGUAGUC